This 1487-nucleotide unclassified non-coding RNA is filed under the name uncultured fungus. RNAcentral's name for it is "sequence contains 18S rRNA gene, ITS1, 5.8S rRNA gene, ITS2, 28S rRNA gene". The stretch from base 514 to 1487 matches the Rfam family "Eukaryotic large subunit ribosomal RNA", at positions 1 to 961 of the family's 3401-position model. Lineage: Eukaryota; Fungi. The record is from RNAcentral.
GGAAGGAUCAUUAACACUAAUCCAAUCAACUCAACCGAGCCUAUUUGCUGUCGAAGUUUGCUCAAGGUCUGCCUUUACUGGCGCCAGAGUAUCUCCGGCAGCUCAUACAAACCUAAUCCACUGAAAGGAAAGUAACUAAGCUUCUUCCAAAAAUCCAAAUUCUCAACGAUGGAUAUCUUGGUUCCCAUAACGAUGAAGAACGCAGCGAAGUGCGAUAAGCAAUGCGAAUUGCAGAACCGUGAGUCAUCAGAUUUUUGAACGCAACUGGCGUCGGCUGGCUCUCCAGCCGACAUGCUUGUUUCAGUGUCUCUUUAACUCCUCACCCAAACCUUAAUGCGAGAGAUACCCUUCUCUUGCUAAGCGAGGAGGCGCUCCUGCGCUCUGCUAGUGGCUUCAUCUUCGGGUGAAGGCCGCACUCAAUGCAGCAGUCACAUUUUCUUAAUGUGAACUCAUUGAGGGCAGAGGCGUCGAAGCCCUUGGCUUCCCAGCGCCUGGUCCAAUCGACCUUUCUUUGCAUCUGAAAUCAAGCAGGAUCACCCGCUGAACUUAAGCAUAUCACUAAGCGGAGGAGAAGAAAUUAACUAAGAUUGCCCUAGUAACGGCGAGUGAAGCGGCAAAAGCCCAAACUGGAAAUCUGGCGCACCUCGUGUGCCCGAAUUGUAAUCUACAGAGGAUUCACUCAUGUGGCGGCGGAGCAGAAGUGGCCUCGAACGGCCCGCCAGAGAGGGUGACAGCCCCGUUCGUGGUUCCGCAGCCUAACAGAGUGGGUUUUCGAAGAGUCGGGUUGUUUUGUAUUGCAGCCCUAAGUGGGAGAUAAACUUCUUCUAAGGCUAAAUAUAUAUGGGAAACCGAUAGCGAACAAGUACUGUGAAGGAAAGAUGAAAAGAACUUUGAAAAGAGAGUCAAAAGACUUGAAAUCGUUGAGAAGGAAGCGGUAGAAAUUUAUUCUUCGCGGCAGGCCCGUGUUUGCUGCCUAACCAUUGCAGGCCGUCAGCACUGCCAAAGGCUGCGGUUUGCACCUGGGGAAGCGGCAGGCUUGGCCUGUUGCGUGAGGCAAAAUGAGGUCAUCGCCCCGCAAAGGGCUCUGACGCCUGGCUCCCUUCGGGGGGCAGCGUCGGGGAUCCGGCGGGAUGGUGGCCUGAGGAAGCUUCGUGCGAUUUUGCCAAAAUGGUUUUUACCGACCCGUCUUGAAACACGGACCAAGGAGUCUAACAUAUAUGCGAGUGUGCUGGUGGAGAAACCAACACGCGUAAUGAAAGUGAACGAUGCCAAGCUCCCUGCAGCAUCGACCGACCAUGAUCCUCCGGUGAAAGGUUUGAGUAUGAGCAUAUCUGUUAGGACCCGAAAGAUGGUGAACUAUGCCUGAGUAGGGUGAAGCCAGGGGAAACUCUGGUGGAGGCUCGUAGCGGUACUGACGUGCAAAUCGUUCGUCAAACUUGGGUAUAGGGGCGAAAGACUAAUCGAACCAUCUAGUAGCUGGUUCCCUC